GCUGAAGCCAGCCCUGGAGACAGCCAUGGAGUCGUGCCUGCUGCAGACCACCCUGAAGAUCUGCCUGACGUCCCCAAGACACAACAGCCUUUAUACCAAACAGCAGAAGCACAUGGAGGACCUGGAGGCCGUGCUGAGGAGCCUGUUGGCCACCGCACCCAGCUUGGACAGGCUGCAGUUCCUUUGGGAGAGCACCUGACAUCCUGGUUGCAGUCUCCCAAUGCCAUAGACAGGGCGAAGGCCAUGAGGAGCAGCAGUGCCCUUCUCCACUUUGCUGUUUCCCUCCUCCCGCAGU
Molecule: long non-coding RNA, 295 nt
Organism: Alligator mississippiensis (American alligator)
Lineage: Eukaryota; Metazoa; Chordata; Crocodylia; Alligatoridae
Exons: 3
Source: RefSeq, a predicted model, not a curated record